GUGAAGAACGUAGCGAAAUGCGAUAAGUAAUGUGAAUUGCAGAAUUCAGUGAAUCAUCGAGUUUUUGAACGCAUAUUGCGCCCUCUGGUAUUCCGGGGGGCAUGCCUGUUCGAGCGUCAUUAAAUAACCCUCAAGCAUAGCUUGGUGUUGGGCUUUUUUACGUCCUUGACUGGGAUGGGCCUAAAAAUUAGUGGCGAUGGCUUUUUUACUUUCAAGCGUAGUAAAUCUCGUCUUGCUAAAGAGGAAAAAGAUUUUUUUUCUGCCAAAAAUUUUAACAUUUAAAGUUGACCUCGGAUCAGGUAGGAUUACCCGCUGAACUUAAGCAUAUCAAUAAGCGGAGGA
RNAcentral lists this unclassified non-coding RNA (342 nucleotides) under soil metagenome. Its description in RNAcentral is "partial contains 5.8S ribosomal RNA, internal transcribed spacer 2, and large subunit ribosomal RNA". The stretch from base 2 to 119 matches the Rfam family "5.8S ribosomal RNA", at positions 37 to 154 of the family's 154-position model. The record is from RNAcentral.